AAGUCGUAACAAGGUUUCCGUAGGUGAACCUGCGGAAGGAUCAUUAGUGAAUUCAAACUUCUCGGAAGGCAGAAGUGCCGGACGAGUGCGGUAGGGGGGUCCCUUGCGGCCCUCCCGUGGAAUACACGUCCAUAACACCUGUGAACUGUCUGUCAAGGCCCAUCGGCUUUGGCCCCCUGGACUUGCACUCUAUAAACUUACUCUGUAAAAAAUGUCGAAAUACGAAAACAAAAUAAAACUUUUAACAACGGAUCUCUUGGCUCUC
This 265-nucleotide unclassified non-coding RNA is filed under the name Filobasidiales sp. Its description in RNAcentral is "partial contains small subunit ribosomal RNA, internal transcribed spacer 1, and 5.8S ribosomal RNA". The stretch from base 1 to 46 matches the Rfam family "Eukaryotic small subunit ribosomal RNA", at positions 1786 to 1831 of the family's 1831-position model. Lineage: Eukaryota; Fungi; Basidiomycota; Tremellomycetes; Filobasidiales. The record is from RNAcentral.